AUACGAAAGGUGCAAGCGUUGUUCGGAUUUACUGGGCGUAAAGAGAUCGUAGGUGGUUUGUUAAGUUGGAUGUGAAAUCCCGGGGCUCAACCUCGGAACUGCAUCCAAAACUGGCAGACUUGAGUUCGGGAGGGGUAAGCGGAAUUCCGUGUGUAGCAGUGAAAUGCGUAGAUAUACGGAGGAACACCUGAGGCGAAGGCGGCUUACUGGACCGAUACUGACACUGAGGAUCGAAAGCGUGGGUAGCAAACAGAAUUAGAAACCCUAGUAGUCC
This 274-nucleotide ribosomal RNA is filed under the name uncultured bacterium. RNAcentral describes it as "partial 16S ribosomal RNA". It matches the Rfam family "Bacterial small subunit ribosomal RNA", at positions 523 to 796 of the family's 1533-position model. The record is from RNAcentral.